This 72-nucleotide transfer RNA is filed under the name Urocitellus parryii (Arctic ground squirrel). RNAcentral's name for it is "Spermophilus parryii (Arctic ground squirrel) tRNA". It matches the Rfam family "tRNA". From Rfam's summary of the family: Transfer RNA (tRNA) molecules are approximately 80 nucleotides in length. The record is from Rfam by way of RNAcentral. RNAcentral also lists the same sequence under 2 other names. Lineage: Eukaryota; Metazoa; Chordata; Mammalia; Rodentia; Sciuridae.
GGGGAUAUAGCUCAGUGGUAGAGCACUUGCUUAGCCUGUGUGAGGCCCUAGGUUCAAUCCCUAGUACCACAA